This 848-nucleotide ribosomal RNA is filed under the name uncultured bacterium. RNAcentral's name for it is "bacterial SSU rRNA". It matches the Rfam family "Bacterial small subunit ribosomal RNA", at positions 532 to 1381 of the family's 1533-position model. The record is from RNAcentral.
UCCCGAGCGUUGUCNGGAUUUAUUGGGCGUAAAGCGAGCGCAGGCGGUUUGAUAAGUNUGAAGUUAAAGGCUGUGGCUCANCCAUAGUUCGCUUUGGAAACUGUCAAACUUGAGUGCAGAAGGGGAGAGUGGAAUUCCAUGUGUAGCGGUGAAAUGCGUAGAUAUAUGGAGGAACACCGGUGGCGAAAGCGGCUCUCUGGUCUGUAACUGACGCUGAGGCUCGAAAGCGUGGGGAGCGAACAGGAUUAGAUACCCUGGUAGUCCACGCCGUAAACGAUGAGUGCUAGGUGUUGGAUCCUUUCCGGGAUUCAGCGCCGCAGCUAACGCAUUAAGCACUCCGCCUGGGGAGUACGACCGCAAGGUUGAAACUCAAAGGAAUUGACGGGGGCCCGCACAAGCGGUGGAGCAUGUGGUUUAAUUCGAAGCAACGCGAAGAACCUUACCAGGUCUUGACAUCCCGAUGCUAUUUCUAGAGAUAGGAAGUUACUUCGGUACAUCGGUGACAGGUGGUGCAUGGUUGUCGUCAGCUCGUGUCGUGAGAUGUUGGGUNNNNNNNNGCAACGAGCGCAACCCCUAUUGUUAGUUGCCAUCAUUCAGUUGGGCACUCUAGCGAGACUGCCGGUAAUAAACCGGAGGAAGGUGGGGAUGACGUCAAAUCAUCAUGCCCCUUAUGACCUGGGCUACACACGUGCUACAAUGAUUGGUACAACGAGUUGCGAGUCGGUGACGGCGAGCUAAUCUCUUAAAGCCAAUCUCAGUUCGGAUUGUAGGCUGCAACUCGCCUACAUGAAGUCGGAAUCGCUAGUAAUCGCGGAUCAGCGCGCCGCGGUGAAUACGUUCCCGGGCCU